RNAcentral lists this ribosomal RNA (497 nucleotides) under uncultured bacterium. RNAcentral describes it as "partial 16S ribosomal RNA". It matches the Rfam family "Bacterial small subunit ribosomal RNA", at positions 28 to 507 of the family's 1533-position model. The record is from RNAcentral.
GAUGAACGCUGGCGGCGUGCCUAAUACAUGCAAGUCGAGCGGACAGACGCGGAGCUUGCUCCUCUGACGCUAGCGGCGGACGGGUGAGUCACACGUGGAUAACCUACCUGUCAGACUGGUAUAACUUCGGGAAACCGGAGCUAAUACCGGAGAAUCUAUUGAACCACGGGGGUCAAUGGUAAGAGACGGUUUUGCUGUAUCUUAUAGCUGGAUCCCCGCCGCAUUGGGUAGUUGGUAAGGUAACGGCUUACGAAGGCAACGAGGCGUAGCCGACCGGAGAGGGUGAUCGGCCACACUGGAACUGAGACACGGUCCAGACUCCUACGGGAGGCAGCAGUAGGGAAUCGGCCGCAAUGGGCGAAAGCCUGACGGAGCAACGCCGCGUGAGUGAGGAAGGUCUUCGGAUCGUAAACCUCUGUUAUUAGGGAAGAACACAUUUGUAAGUAACUCUGCACGUCUUGACGGUACCUAAUCAGAAAGGCACGGCUAACUACCUG